UACGUAGGGGGCGAGCGUUGUCCGGAUUUAUUGGGCGUAAAGAGCGUGUAGGCGGCCAGGUAGGUCUGCUGUGAAAACUCGAGGCUCAACCUCGAGACGUCGGUUGAAACCGCUUGGCUAGAGUCCGGAAGAGGAGAGUGGAAUUCCCGGUGUAGCGGUGAAAUGCGUAGAGAUGCGGAGGAACACCGAUGGCGAAGGCAGCCCCCUGGGUAGACACUGACGCUCAGGCACGAAAGCGUGGGGAGCAAACAGG
RNAcentral lists this ribosomal RNA (253 nucleotides) under uncultured bacterium. RNAcentral's name for it is "partial 16S ribosomal RNA". It matches the Rfam family "Bacterial small subunit ribosomal RNA", at positions 524 to 776 of the family's 1533-position model. The record is from RNAcentral.